GACGAACGCUGGCGGCGUGCUUAACACAUGCAAGUCGAACGGAGCGAAUGAAAGCUUGCUUUUAUGAGCUUAGUGGCAAACGGGUGAGUAACACGUAGACAACCUGCCGACAGGAUGGGGACAACAUUCCGAAAGGAAUGCUAAUACCGAAUGAAGCGGAGGAGAGGCAUCUCUCUUCCGUGAAAGAUGGCCUCUAUUUAUAAGCUAUCACCUGUCGAUGGGUCUGCGUCUGAUUAGCUGGUUGGUGAGGUAACGGCUCACCAAGGCGACGAUCAGUAGCCGGUCUGAGAGGAUGAACGGCCACAUUGGGACUGAGACACGGCCCAGACUCCUACGGGAGGCAGCAGUGGGGAAUCUUCCGCAAUGGGCGCAAGCCUGACGGAGCAACGCCGCGUGAGUGAAGAAGGUCUUCGGAUCGUAAAGCUCUGUUGACGGGGACGAACGUGCGAGAGGUGAAUAAACUCUUGCAAGGACGGU
This 477-nucleotide ribosomal RNA is filed under the name Centipeda dianae. RNAcentral describes it as "bacterial SSU rRNA". It matches the Rfam family "Bacterial small subunit ribosomal RNA", at positions 28 to 476 of the family's 1533-position model. Lineage: Bacteria; Bacillati; Bacillota; Negativicutes; Selenomonadales; Selenomonadaceae. The record is from RNAcentral.